Molecule: long non-coding RNA, 2720 nt
Organism: Cyprinus carpio (common carp)
Lineage: Eukaryota; Metazoa; Chordata; Actinopteri; Cypriniformes; Cyprinidae
Source: Ensembl
AUGUGUACUAUAAACCAAUAUGCGGAUGACACUACAUUCACAGUGAGGGAAGGAAAUAGUGUAAAAAGAGUUUUAGAGAUAGUGAAGUGGUAUGGGAAGGCAUCAGGGGCAAAAAUUAAUGUAGAUAAAUCUGAAUUAAUGUAUAUAGGGGAGGUAGAGAGAGUAGAAGUAGGGGUCAGAGUGGAGGAAAAAUAUAUAAAAGCAUUAGGGGUAAAUUUAGGGGUGGAAAGCAAAGAGGCAAGAGAUGUGACUUGGACCGGGGUGAUUAAUAAAAUAAGAACAGUAAGUGCAGCAUGGAAAGGGAGGAAAUUAAGAUUAAAUGGGAAGGUAAUAGUAGUAAAUAGUCUGUUGUUGUCAGUAUGUGUGUAUGUAAUGAGUGUAAUGGAAAUGCCAGGGUGGGUGAUGAAUGAAUUGAAUAAAAUUGUAUUUAAGUUUAUAUGGGAGGGAAAAGGGGUGAAAAUUGCACAGAAAACAUUGGUGGGUAAGAGAUGGGAAGGGGGCUUAAACUUGAUGGACCUAGAAAUAAAAAGGGCUGCGAUGAGAAUAAAAACGGUGAUAAAAUAUAUGGGAGGGCGAUGGGAUUAUGGGUGGAAGGAAUUCUUAAGGAAAUAUAUUGAUGACGUGGGAGGAAUAGGGGAUAAUGGUUGGUAUAUGGGCUUUAAGCAAUCAAUGACCGGAGGAAUACCAGAAAUAUAUCGGGAAGUAUUAGAGGCAUGGAGGCAGUUCCUGCCAAAAAUAGAGUAUGAGUGUGAAGACAUACAUGUGAUUAAAAAUCUACCACUGCUUCUUAAUGAAAAAAUUAAAUAUAAAAAUAAAACAUUGUAUGAAUGUAAAUUUAUAGAAGGGGGCAUAAAACAAGUAAAGGACAUUUUGUACGAAGUGAUUCCAGGAUUUCUCAGAAAUAACUGCAUUUAUGAUUCUGUGUGUGAUCUGGAAGGAAUGGAGAACAGAGAGAAAGUAAAUAAAAUAUAUGGAAAAAUUAAAUCAAGUAUACCCUUGCAGUGGACUAAUGUGAUCGAACUUGAAUGUGUAUCUAAUGUGGAAAAAUGUAUGCCGGAGAUGUAUGUGGAUGAUAAAGGCGAGAAAAACAAAAUAAAAAAUAUGAGUGUAAAGAAUAUAUAUAUACCAGGUGCUGUAAGCUUUAGUUUUUUCGUCAAUACGGAUCUACUACAUUGCGCAUUAGGGUGCCUGAUCUUUAAAUAGCCCACACUUUGUAGCAGCCCUCGCUUACGGCCAUACCACCCUGAGUGCGCCUGGUGUCGUCUGAUCUUGGAAGCUAAGCAGGGUCGGGCCUGGUUAGUACUUGGAUGGGAGACCACCUGGGAAUACCAGGUGCUGUAAGCUUUAGUUUUUUCGUCAAAAUUGAUCUAAUAUACUGCACAUUAGGGUGGCUGAUCUUUAAAUAGCCCACACUUUGCAGCAGCCCUCGCUUACGGCCAUACCACCCUGAGCGCGCCCGAUCUCGUCUGAUCUCGGAAGCUAAGCAGGGUCGGGCCUGGUUAGUACUUGGAUGGGAGACCGCCUGGGAAUACCAGGUGCUGUAAGCUUUAGUUUUUUCGUCAAAAUUGAUCUAAUAUACUGCACAUUAGGGUGGCUGAUCUUUAAAUAGCCCACACUUUGCAGCAGCCCUCGCUUACGGCCAUACCACCCUGAGCGCGCCCGAUCUCGUCUGAUCUCGGAAGCUAAGCAGGGUCGGGCCUGGUUAGUACUUGGAUGGGAGACCGCCUGGGAAUACCAGGUGCUGUAAGCUUUAGUUUUUUCGUCAAAAUUGAUCUAAUAUACUGCACAUUAGGGUGGCUGAUCUUUAAAUAGCCCACACUUUGCAGCAGCCCUCGCUUACGGCCAUACCACCCUGAGCGCGCCCGAUCUCGUCUGAUCUCGGAAGCUAAGCAGGGUCGGGCCUGGUUAGUACUUGGAUGGGAGACCGCCUGGGAAUACCAGGUGCUGUAAGCUUUAGUUUUUUCGUCAAAAUUGAUCUAAUAUACUGCACAUUAGGGUGGCUGAUCUUUAAAUAGCCCACACUUUGCAGCAGCCCUCGCUUACGGCCAUACCACCCUGAGCGCGCCCGAUCUCGUCUGAUCUCGGAAGCUAAGCAGGGUCGGGCCUGGUUAGUACUUGGAUGGGAGACCGCCUGGGAAUACCAGGUGCUGUAAGCUUUAGUUUUUUCGUCAAAAUUGAUCUAAUAUACUGCACAUUAGGGUGGCUGAUCUUUAAAUAGCCCACACUUUGCAGCAGCCCUCGCUUACGGCCAUACCACCCUGAGCGCGCCCGAUCUCGUCUGAUCUCGGAAGCUAAGCAGGGUCGGGCCUGGUUAGUACUUGGAUGGGAGACCGCCUGGGAAUACCAGGUGCUGUAAGCUUUAGUUUUUUCGUCAAAAUUGAUCUAAUAUACUGCACAUUAGGGUGGCUGAUCUUUAAAUAGCCCACACUUUGCAGCAGCCCUCGCUUACGGCCAUACCACCCUGAGCGCGCCCGAUCUCGUCUGAUCUCGGAAGCUAAGCAGGGUCGGGCCUGGUUAGUACUUGGAUGGGAGACCGCCUGGGAAUACCAGGUGCUGUAAGCUUUAGUUUUUUCGUCAAAAUUGAUCUAAUAUACUGCACAUUAGGGUGGCUGAUCUUUAAAUAGCCCACACUUUGCAGCAGUUGAAUAUGGCACUGUUCAUUAACAGUAUUUUCAAUGACUAAUUUAAUAAAACAUUCUGUGAAACUUUGAUGGUUACCA